UUCAGACUUCCCAGUUGUGUUGAACUCACUGAAGUUGGAUGUCUGAGAUUUCCCAGUUUCCAGUUGUUUUGAAUGCUGCAUUAAUGCUCAGAGGGAGACGGCAGGGUAUUUAUUCCCUUUGAGUCAGAAACCAAAACUCCUCGAGUUUCCAGUUGUUUUGGAGGUGAUUAGUCAUCAUUCGCGUGGGACUCUUACUGAUGUUGUUUUCUGUUAACAACAGCAUCACAGGCAUGACUAGAACACAAGGUAACGACAGCAUCACCACCACAGACAUGACUAGAACACAAGGUAACAACAAGAUCACCACCACAGACAUGACUAGAACACAAGGUAACAACAAGAUCACCACCACAGACAUGACUAGAAC
Oncorhynchus tshawytscha (Chinook salmon) is the source of this 367-nucleotide long non-coding RNA. The record is from Ensembl. Lineage: Eukaryota; Metazoa; Chordata; Actinopteri; Salmoniformes; Salmonidae.